RNAcentral lists this ribosomal RNA (255 nucleotides) under Rhodococcoides fascians. RNAcentral describes it as "Rhodococcus fascians partial 16S ribosomal RNA". It matches the Rfam family "Bacterial small subunit ribosomal RNA", at positions 74 to 332 of the family's 1533-position model. The record is from RNAcentral. Lineage: Bacteria; Bacillati; Actinomycetota; Actinomycetes; Mycobacteriales; Nocardiaceae.
GGCCUUUCGGGGUACACGAGCGGCGAACGGGUGAGUAACACGUGGGUGAUCUGCCCUGCACUCUGGGAUAAGCUUGGGAAACUGGGUCUAAUACCGGAUAUGACCACAGCAUGCAUGUGUUGUGGUGGAAAGAUUUAUCGGUGCAGGAUGGGCCCGCGGCCUAUCAGCUUGUUGGUGGGGUAAUGGCCUACCAAGGCGACGACGGGUAGCCGACCUGAGAGGGUGACCGGCCACACUGGGACUGAGACACGGCCC